AUGGGAGAGACGGCAGUGAAGAAAUGGGUGGAAAAAAUUGGGGAGAAUAUAGUUUGGGGUCCAGAGCAAGAAGUAUCACUGUUGCGGUUUGAUGAUUGGAAAGGAGAGUAUGUGAGAAUAGAAGAUGGUGAACAGAUUGUUGAAGAAAUCGAUCGGCAAAACGGCUGGACAAGCAAACGGGCUAAUUUUUUUGCUGAGCUCGUUGAUCUGAACAUUUUUUCGAAGGUUGGAUAUGUGCCAUCACAAUUGGCUGCGCAGAUGGUAGAUGUUGAUUGGGCUACACAGAGGCCAUUGAUUCCCAUGUGUACUGAACUUACAGUAAUAGCCGAAGAGGGAUAG
This 339-nucleotide ribosomal RNA is filed under the name Triticum aestivum (bread wheat). RNAcentral's name for it is "partial small subunit ribosomal RNA". The record is from RNAcentral. Lineage: Eukaryota; Viridiplantae; Streptophyta; Magnoliopsida; Poales; Poaceae.